Long non-coding RNA from Pieris rapae (cabbage white), 299 nucleotides. RefSeq lists it as uncharacterized. Lineage: Eukaryota; Metazoa; Arthropoda; Insecta; Lepidoptera; Pieridae. The record is from RefSeq and is a predicted model, not a curated record. The transcript has 2 exons.
AUUAGCGUAAUAUAAGUAUUUUCAUGAUUGAUUUUCAUCAGAUUUUCAUGUAGUGUUUGUUGCGAAAUAAUAACUAAUUGAGAGUAGCAUGUCGGGUAGAAGUGAUUUAUGGAAUCAUUUUAUUAAAAAAGACUUCGGAGGCACAUGCAAAUAUUGUCACCAGGACGUAAAAACUAAGGGAAACUGAGCAUUGGGAACUAUAGUUCCCAGUUAUAAUUCCCAAUGCUUAAUAUUUAAACUUUUAACUCUUACCUUAUUUUUUACUUUUUUGCAAUCAAUAAAAACAUUCAGUAUAUAAA